Molecule: long non-coding RNA, 383 nt
Filed under: Citrus maxima (pomelo)
Lineage: Eukaryota; Viridiplantae; Streptophyta; Magnoliopsida; Sapindales; Rutaceae
Description: long non-coding RNA (CMAX_LNC001613)
Source: RNAcentral
AAAUUACAAAAUCCGAACCAAACAGAUACAAUGGCAUUUUUUGUAAUUUCACAUAACAUAUAUACACAAUUACACAUGUUUGCACCACUCUCGGUCUUUACUCUUUACUCUCUCACUUCCAAUUUCAGCAGCCACAAACCUAAACCCUAAGUCCCACCUUUGCAACCAAAUCCAAGUCUGCAGGUGGCCGCCAUUGCCGAAUCUUCAUUGCCGACCAUCCGCUGUUGUUGCUGUUUCCUUCCAUCAUUUCUGUCGCCAGCUAGCCAGUCAAAUAACUUUGUUUUCCUUUUUUUCUUUUAAAUGGCUAUUUUUUAAGUCUUUUUUAAUUUCGUGUUUGCCUUAUUUUAUUUAUUGUAAUAAAUUAUUAUUAGUAUUUGGUUUUA